GAUUUCUUUGUUUUGCUCUAUGGGACUGGGGAGAUCGUAGAAAACAUGAUGCCCAACAUCUUCUGGAUCCGCUUCCACUAUGGAUUUCUUAUGAAACCACCUAGGACAGAUCCCACAAGCUCUAACCAGGUAGGCUACAGAUUCUCACUCUCACCUUUCAUAUUGCUAAAAAUUUUGAAUCUUUCCUUUGCCUGCAGUGUCCUGUUUUCUUCUGGUGUAUUGCAAGGAUGUAUAUGUCUAAUUAAUUUUCCUUUUUCUGUUGGAUUUGGUUCAAAUAUAUAAGUUGAACAACUACCAAAUUUGGUAUAUUUCUG
This 314-nucleotide unclassified non-coding RNA is filed under the name Hevea brasiliensis (rubber tree). Lineage: Eukaryota; Viridiplantae; Streptophyta; Magnoliopsida; Malpighiales; Euphorbiaceae. The record is from RNAcentral.